CCCAGACAGCCAGGAUGUUGGCUUAGAAGCAGCCAUCAUUUAAAGAAAGCGUAAUAGCUCACUGGUCGAGUCGGCCUGCGCGGAAGAUGUAACGGGGCUAAACCAUGCACCGAAGCUGCGGCAGCGAACGUAUCACUUAAAGCGAUUCAGCGGGUUACGAUUGACGGAGCGAAGCGACGUCAAAGCGUAUACAAAGUCGAGUCGGUUUAAGGAUACGUUCGUUGGGUAGGGGAGCGUUCUGUAAGCCUGUGAAGGUGGCCUGUGAGGGUUGCUGGAGGUAUCAGAAGUGCGAAUGCUGACAUAAGUAACGAUAAAGCGGGUGAAAAGCCCGCUCGCCGGAAGACCAAGGGUUCCUGUCCAACGUUAAUCGGGGCAGGGUGAGUCGACCCCUAAGGCGAGGCCGAAAGGCGUAGUCGAUGGGAAACGGGUUAAUAUUCCCGUACUUGGUGUUACUGCGAAGGGGGGACGGAGAAGGCUAUGUUGGCCGGGCGACGGUUGUCCCGGUUUAAGCGUGUAGGCUGGUUUUCCAGGCAAAUCCGGAAAAUCAAGGCUGAGGCGUGACGACGAGGCACUACGGUGCUGAAGCAACAAAUGCCCUGCUUCCAGGAAAAGCCUCUAAGCAUCAGGUAACAUCAAAUCGUACCCCAAACCGACACAGGUGGUCAGGUAGAGAAUACCAAGGCGCUUGA
RNAcentral lists this ribosomal RNA (689 nucleotides) under Salmonella enterica subsp. enterica serovar Anatum. RNAcentral's name for it is "partial 23S ribosomal RNA". It matches the Rfam family "Bacterial large subunit ribosomal RNA", at positions 1084 to 1693 of the family's 2925-position model. Lineage: Bacteria; Pseudomonadati; Pseudomonadota; Gammaproteobacteria; Enterobacterales; Enterobacteriaceae. The record is from RNAcentral.